Phragmites australis (common reed) is the source of this 2007-nucleotide long non-coding RNA. RefSeq lists it as uncharacterized. NCBI's taxonomy places the organism in Eukaryota, Viridiplantae, Streptophyta, Magnoliopsida, Poales, Poaceae. The transcript is spliced from 4 exons. The record is from RefSeq and is a predicted model, not a curated record.
UACUCCUUUAAAGCAGCUCUUUCGUCGUGCGUCAUUCUCAUCCUCCCGGGCCAAAAUCGUGCGUCGUCCUCACAGGCCCAAAAAAAUACUAAAAGCCAGUCGGGCCCAACAUUCACGCCAAACGUGAAUUCCUGGAGAUCCCCGAGCCACAGCAGCCGUCCGCUAACCCUAUCACGCACGAGCUACCGAACUCCUCGCACCGCAGCCGACCGCCGACCGUCCCAUGGAUGCGCCGGAAUCGCCCCGCGUCCUCUCCCGCGCCAUGGCCGCCGCGUUGCAGCUCCCACGCAACUCCCACGCACGCCGCCUGCAUCGUCUGCGCGCCAUGGCCGCCGCGUUCUCCCAUCCAUGGCCGCCACCCAGUCCUCCUCGCCCGCACAUACACCUGAAGCCAAUAGAACCCCACAAAAUCUGGGGCCGAAGCUGCAGAAAAUGUGCCGGUCGGACCCCCUCCCGCCCUCCGGAUCCCUACCCGGUGGCUCCCCUACCUUCACCAGGAUCCUGGAUCUCUCGCCGAGCAGCCGGCAUGCCGCGUCUGAUGCGAUCCGUGGCUCUACCGCACCGCCAGAGUCGACGAUGAAUCGGGUAACGCGGUAACACCUCCGGCUCCCGCCCUGCUCCCAACUUUGGCCCGAGCCGACGUGCGCCUGCGGACUCGCAGCGCUUGUCAUGCUCCUCCUCGCUUCGGCCCUGCUCCCUAGCCUUCCUCGCUAUGGCACACUCUCACAGCAUCUUCACUCUUCAGUCCAAUGCAUUAUGUACCUAAACAUGCGAUUGGAAGGGAGUGACAUACCCUCCAACAAUUUCGAAGAAGAGAGGAGUUGAGCCCGAUUUGGCUAACCCACCACCGUGGUGCUAACCAACUGACCCGGGAGGCUCCUCAAUGUAUUAUGUACCUCAAAUCCUUGUGCAGGAUGAUAUUUGCUUACCGCUUAUUUUGUUCAGUUUACUUCAAAAGAACAAUUUCUAUGGGCAAAUUCCCAGAGAGUUUGGAACGCUGACUGAUCUAGAAGUGCUAGAUUUGAGCAGCAACAGCUUGGAUGGUGCAAUUUCGGAAGAACUAAGAGCAAUGCCACUGCUCAGACAACUUUCCAAGAAGGUGUCUCUUCUUUCGAUGCCCACGAGACAGUUGCUGUCUUGCUGAUCAAGCAGAUUUUGUUUUACAGGUGAGGCUAUAAGGACUGGAUUUCUCUCAGUGGCCUCCGAGAGAAAUAUUGCACAAAUAUACCAAGUAUUUUUGCAUUUUCAUUCUGCUUUAUGUUACAUAUACUGCAUCAAACAUUUAUAGCCUUGUAUGCAUGUCUUUCAGGUUUCAGUGAGGCACACAUAAUGCAGAAUUUGCAGUCCUUUGCAAGUGCCAUGCAAUCCUUGAAGCUGGCAACCUGCCUGCUCUCCUCUUUCAGGGAAUGAUGCUAAAUCUUCUGAUCCGGCAAAUUCAAAAGAAACCCAAAGACCUGUUGAUGUGCUUUCUCUAGGGAGUGGAUCAUUCCCUGCAUUUCCAAAAUCAGAUGACCAAAUUCUGAUGCCUUUGCUUCCUGAAGUGAUUGAUGCUACCACAGUGCAGCAGUUAUCUACAGAAGUGGCCCACUUGACUGAUGAAGAAUUGACUGGCGCUAAGUAUAGUAAGUAGGCAUAUUUGAUCAUAAUUCUGGCUGCAAUAUUGCUUAUUAGCCUGAUUGUUGCAUUUAUUUUGGUUUGGCGAAUGCGAGGGCGUGUGCCAAUAGCCCCUUGGAAAACAGGGCUAAGUGGAGCUCUUCAAAAGGCUAAUGUAACAGGUAAAACGUUCUUUAUCAUUCUAUUUAAUUUUACAGUCGAGCAAGUUAAUGCAUGCAAAGUACUGCAUCUUUUGUGAGCAUUUAGUCUUUGAGACUCCCAGAUUUUCUUGGUGAACUAAGCAUAUGGCCAGUUCAGGAACUCUAUUGUGCUUUUAGUUAUAUUUUGGAUAUACUUGUCACUUAAAAUUAUGUCCUAGCAUCCAGGUGCUUCAAUGCAUUAUUGUUUCUUGUA